Molecule: ribosomal RNA, 1981 nt
Filed under: human gut metagenome
Description: bacterial LSU rRNA
Rfam family: Bacterial large subunit ribosomal RNA
Source: RNAcentral
UUAAAUGAAUAAGGGCGUAUGGUGGAUGCCUAGGCAUGUAGAGCAGAAGAAGGACGCAGCUAACGGCGAAACGCGACGGGGAGUGGUAAGCACACAUCGAUCCGUCGGUCUCCGAAUGGGGAAACCCAGCGCGAGUAAUGUCGCGUUACCCAUGAGUGAAUACAUAGCUCAUGAGGAGAGAACCCAGGGAAUUGAAACAUCUUAGUACCUGGAGGAAAAGAAAAUAAGAAUGAUUCCCUCAGUAGCGGCGAGCGAACGGGGAAGAGCCCAAACCAGCCUUAGGGCUGGGGUAGUAGGACCACGACGUGGUACAGUAACCGAUAGAAGAAGGACAUUGAAAGGUCCGCCAAAGAGGGUGCAAGCCCCGUAAUCGAAAUUGGGAGCUGACCUAGUGGAAUCCUGAGUACGGCGAGGCACGUGGAACCUUGUCGGAAGCAUCCGGGACCAUCCGGAAAGGCUAAAUACUCCUACAUGACCGAUAGUGAACCAGUACCGUGAGGGAAAGGUGAAAAGAACCGCGGGAGCGGAGUGAAAUAGAACCUGAAACCAUAUGCUUACAAGAAGACAGAGCCCGUUAAGGGGUGAUGUCGUGCCUUUUGUAGAAUGAACCGGCGAGUUAUCUUAUCGUGCGAGGUUAAGUGGAAGACACGGAGCCGAAGCGAAAGCGAGUCUGAAUAGGGCGGGAGUACGAUGAGAUAGACCCGAAGCCGUAGUGAUCUAGCCAUGACCAGGUUGAAGUUUGGGUGAAACCAAAUGGAGGACCGAACCGACCCCCGUUGAAAAGUUGGCGGAUGAGUUGUGGCUAGCGGAGAAAUUCCAAUCGAACACGGCGAUAGCUGGUUCUCCCCGAAAUAGCUUUAGGGCUAGCGUCGAAGUAAGGGUAGUGGAGGUAGAGCACUGAAUUCAUGAUGGCGCCGUCAAGGUGUACUGAAUGAAAUCAAACUCCGAAUGCCAUUAUUGAAUCUUCGGCAGUCAGACUGUGGGUGAUAAGGUCCAUGGUCAAAAGGGAAACAGCCCAGAUCAUCAGUUAAGGUCCCAAAAUUACCGCUAAGUGGAAAAGGAUGUGGGGAUGCACAGACAACUAGGAGGUUGGCUUAGAAGCAGCCACCCUUCAAAGAGUGCGUAACAGCUCACUAGUCGAGUGACCCUGCGCCGAAAAUUAACCGGGGCUAAGCGGUAUACCGAAACUAUGGCAAUGAUGUAAAUCAUUGGGUAGGGGAGCGUUCCAUGGGCGUUGAAGCUGUACCGUAAGGAGCAGUGGAGCGCAUGGAAGUGAGAAUGCCGGUGUGAGUAGCGAGAUGCAGGUGAGAAUCCUGCACACCGAUAGACCAAGGAUUCCAGGGGAAGGUUCGUCCGCCCUGGGUAAGUCGGGACCUAAGGCGAGGCUGAAAAGCGUAGUCGAUGGAAAACAGGUUGAUAUUCCUGUACCCGCGCAUCGAGUGAUGGAGUGACAAAGAAGGCUAACCGGACCGGUGAAUGGAUUCCGGACCAAGCGAGGUAGGAGGCAGUCAGGCAAAUCCGGCUGUCAAUCUGAAGGCGUGAUGGGGAGUGAACAGCGCGAGCUAAGUAGCGAAGACGGCGAUGCCAGCUUUCAAGAAAAGCUUCUAGCGCUAAUCGAUGAGCGGCCCGUACCAAAACCGACACAGGUGGUCAAGGCGAGAAGCCUAAGGUGAGCGAGAGAACUGUUGCCAAGGAACUCGGCAAAAUAGCCCCGUACGUUCGCAAGAAGGGGCGCUCGAAAGAGCCGCAGUGAAGAGGCCCAAGCAACUGUUUAACUAAAACACAGCUCUCUGCAAAGUCGCAAGACGAAGUAUAGGGGGUGACGCCUGCCCGGUGCUGGAAGGUUAAGAGGAUAUGUUAGUCGCAAGACGAAGCAUUGAAUUGAAGCCCCAGUGAACGGCGGCCGUAACUAUAACGGUCCUAAGGUAGCGAAAUUCCUUGUCAGGUAAGUUCUGACCCGCACGAAAGGCGUAAUGAUUUG